This 75-nucleotide transfer RNA is filed under the name Candidatus Veblenbacteria bacterium RIFOXYA2_FULL_43_9. RNAcentral describes it as "tRNA-Lys". It matches the Rfam family "tRNA". From Rfam's summary of the family: Transfer RNA (tRNA) molecules are approximately 80 nucleotides in length. Their secondary structure includes four short double-helical elements and three loops (D, anti-codon, and T loops). RNAcentral also lists the same sequence under 5 other names. Lineage: Bacteria; Candidatus Vebleniibacteriota. The record is from RNAcentral.
GGGUCUGUAGCUCAAUGGUAGAGCGCCAGCCUUUUAAGCUGGGCGUCGUGGGUUCGAUUCCCACCAGACCCACCA